ACGUAGGGUGCGAGCGGUAAUCGGAAUUACUGGGCGUAAAGCGUGCGCAGGCGGCUUUGCAAGACAGAUGUGAAAUCCCCGGGCUCAACCCGGGAACUGCGUCCGAUACUGGGUGGCUUGAAUUCGGGAGAGGGAUGCGGAAUUCCAGGUGUAGCGGUGAAAUGCGUAGAUAUCUGGAGGAACACCGGUGGCGAAAGCGGCGCACUGGACCACAACUGACGCUGAGGCGCGAAAGCUAGGGGAGCAAACAGGA
Molecule: ribosomal RNA, 253 nt
Filed under: uncultured prokaryote
Description: partial 16S ribosomal RNA
Rfam family: Bacterial small subunit ribosomal RNA
Source: RNAcentral